GGCCUGCUUUGGAGGAGUUGCCCCUGACUUUGAAUUUGGGAGACACGAUGCCCCUAGCUAAUGCUUCUUUUUGAAAGCUAGGCCCAUCAAACUUGGGGUGCCCAUCACAUUUUUCUUCACCAGAGCCGGCUUCUUCUUCUUCGGCUCAUCAUCAUGCCACCAGAUAAGGAUGGUCUUCGACUCCAUGUCCUUCAUCCUGUCGCUAUCUUUUCUGUUAACCAGAGGGGUUUUGCUCACAUCUGCAUUGAUCGGUACCGGGUGCUGGAUCGAUAUAUUUCAGAUCCACUAGUAUCAGUUCCUCAUCGUCACCCAGAAAAUCAUCAAUUGCUCCGACCGCACCAAGUUUUCUCCCAAUCUCCUCAUAGAUCUCAUUUAGCCAGAAAUGAGUAGGAAUACCCUUGACCGAGAUCCAUAAUUCAUGGUAUUUGGAAAAGUAUCACCAACAUGAGGUUUCCGCUCUGAAGGACCAGUAAUUGAAAUGGCAGGGACGCUUGUUCAAAACCUUCCGGAGGUCAUCCUCAUAGUUAAAAUCAAACUGGAAUCUGGAGUUUCCAAGUUCCAUACCUUGGACCCGCCCU
Molecule: long non-coding RNA, 578 nt
Filed under: Brassica napus (rape)
Lineage: Eukaryota; Viridiplantae; Streptophyta; Magnoliopsida; Brassicales; Brassicaceae
Description: long non-coding RNA (BNAP_LNC006763)
Source: RNAcentral